GACGAACGCUGGCGGCGUGCUUAACACAUGCAAGUCGAGCGAUGAAACCCUUCGGGGUGGAUUAGCGGCGGACGGGUGAGUAACACGUGGGUAACCUGCCUCAAAGAGGGGGAUAGCCUCCAGAAAGGGAGAUUAAUACCGCAUAACAUUAGUUUUUCGCAUGGAGAACUAAUUAAAGGAGUAAUCCGCUUUAAGAUGGACCCUCGGCGCAUUAGCUAGUUGGUGAGGUAACGGCUCACCAAGGCGACGAUGCGUAGCCGACCUGAGAGGGUGAUCGGCCACAUUGGAACUGAGACACGGUCCAGACUCCUACGGGAGGCAGCAGUGGGGAAUAUUGCACAAUGGGCGAAAGCCUGAUGCAGCAACGCCGCGUGAGUGAUGAAGGCCUUCGGGUUGUAAAGCUCUGUCUUUUGGGACGAUAAUGACGGUACCAAAGGAGGAAGCCACGGCUAACUACGUGCCAGCAGCCGCAGUAA
RNAcentral lists this ribosomal RNA (476 nucleotides) under uncultured bacterium. Its description in RNAcentral is "partial 16S ribosomal RNA". It matches the Rfam family "Bacterial small subunit ribosomal RNA", at positions 28 to 523 of the family's 1533-position model. The record is from RNAcentral.